UCUCCUUGCCAACCAGCAGCUCCCUUGGUAGGGGCAUGCAGAAGACCUGAUGACACAAACCCUCCAAAGAGUUUCACCCUCACCACAACAGGUGGCUUCCUGCUCGGCAGCCCAUCCUGCAUCACUUCAGUGGACUUCUCUGACAUCUACUAGACCACAUUAAAUGAAUCACAGCCUUGAAACUGAACUGGAAGGACUUCCUUCAAGGAGCCAGCAUAUGAACUUGCUGCCUAUCUUUAGCAAGGAGAUGCAAAUGACAUCCACAAACCUCUUCUGCUGUAUACCUGGAUGAAAGCAAGGCUAGCUGUGUGUCCUAUGGCACCAAGGACUGAAAGAUUGUAAGAAGUAAGAGGGAAAGUGAUCCAAAAAGGUGGAACACCUAAUGUACAGCCCCAAGGAAGGAGCAUACUUGGAGAAUUCAAGGAACAGAAAGAAAAACAGGAAGGCUGGAGUGAAACUGAUUAAAUAAAGCAUCGUAACAUUAGAGGUCCAUCAUAGAGGCCAAGCCAAAUACAACUAUGUUUUCAAGCAUAAGAUGGAUAGAUGUGGUAAACCACAAGAAGCAAACAGCCCUUUAGAGGUGUGGAUUGACCUUGCAGAGUUACAAGUGGAGCCAGGAGAAAUCAUGUUGAGUGGGACUUCUCAUCCUACCUAAGAGAGACUAACAGAUGGAAAGCUGGGUACAGAAGGGAGAGAAGGCAGUAACAGUCAGAUUUCAAUACGCUGAGACUGUGACGUGGGACUUUUGAGUGAGUAACAUCUGCUCCUAGAACUGAGUUGAGUGGGGAUCCUCCCACACCACCCAGGCAAGAGAACUAACAAUUGAUGACUGCUCCAAAUCAGUCGCCAGUCUACCUAAUACUUCUACCUGGUAGGUAGCCUGAUACCCACUAACAUCAGAUGUGAUGCCAGAAGUAGAGCAGCCAUCUUGCAACCACAAAGCAACAGCAUGAGUAUGAAAGUUAGUGCAUUAAGGAUGCUGGAAUAGAAUGAUUGAAAGCCAGAUGCCUAAUGACGUUGCUGAAUAGCUGAAACAAUACCAGCAACUAGCUGGUCUUGCUCUGUUGCCUGGCCUGAAGUGCAGUGGCAUGAUCAUGGCUCACUGCAGCCUCAACCUCCCAGGCACAAGUGAUCCUCCCACCUCAACUUCCAGAAUAUAGAAGCUGGAACUACAGUGACCUACAUCCAAAGUGAAAAGUUAUUCAGCCUCUGAAGAGAAGCAUUUUGUUUGGGGAUCUUCAAGUAUGCUUGUCAGCACCGAGAACUGGAAAAAAAUCUCUGAUUGUCCUGCAGCAAUGGCAUUAAAGGCUCCUCAUAACAUACAGAACCAGAAUUGUGCCAUAAUUUACUGAAAUUGAACAUUGCUCUGUGACUGCUAAUUUUCCAUCGAGAUGAUUCUGUCUCUAACCAAGAAAAGAAAAGUUUGUCUUCCUGACUGCUGACACUGCUGACCAAGCCCACCACCAGAUGCCUGGCUGCACACCCAGAGGGCAGCCGCUUCCCGUGGUCCUCUCGAAGAACUUCCCUUUUGCAAUGCAUGUUUAGCAAGUGGAUGAGUUUGUCUUUUCUGAUUUCUCUGCAAGCUCUGCAUUGCCCACCUGAACCAGUGCUUCAGAAGAACUAAUGGGAUCUCUGACCCUCCAACAUCCUCUUCCAGACUUUCACUUUCCUGGCUCCUUGCAGGGACAUGUAAUAAACGUGCUCUCCAGAGAAA
RNAcentral lists this long non-coding RNA (1714 nucleotides) under Homo sapiens (human). Its description in RNAcentral is "HSALNT0373500". Lineage: Eukaryota; Metazoa; Chordata; Mammalia; Primates; Hominidae. The record is from RNAcentral.